This 792-nucleotide ribosomal RNA is filed under the name uncultured bacterium. RNAcentral's name for it is "bacterial SSU rRNA". It matches the Rfam family "Bacterial small subunit ribosomal RNA", at positions 8 to 796 of the family's 1533-position model. The record is from RNAcentral.
AGAGUUUGAUCCUGGCUCAGAACGAACGCUGGCGGCGUGCUUAACACAUGCAAGUCGCGUGCGCAGUUUCCGUAGCAAUACGGGGAUGGGCGCACGGCGCACGGGUGCGUAACACGUGGGCAAUCUGCCCUCCGAUGGGGAAUACCCCCGCGAAAGCGGGACUAAUUCCGCAUAACAUUCCUUGGAUUAACUUUCGAGGAUUCAAAGCAGCAAUGCGUCGGAGGAGGAGCCCGCGCCCGAUUAGCUAGUUGGUGAGGUAACGGCUCACCAAGGCAAUGAUCGGUAGCUGGUCUGAGAGGAUGGCCAGCCACACUGGAACUGAGACACGGUCCAGACUCCUACGGGAGGCAGCAGUGGGGAAUCUUGCACAAUGGGCGAAAGCCUGAUGCAGCGACGCCGCGUGGGGGAUGAAGCUUUUCGGAGUGUAAACCCCUUUCGACUGGGACGAAUGCCUCGCAAGAGGAGUGACGGUACCAGUAUAAGAAGCCCCGGCUAACUACGUGCCAGCAGCCGCGGUAAGACGUAGGGGGCCAGCGUUGUUCGGAAUUACUGGGUGUAAAGGGUUCGUAGGCGGUGUGGCAAGUCGGGAGUGAAAUCUCUGGGCUCAACCCAGAGACUGCUUCCGAAACUGCUGUGCUUGAGUGUGAGAGAGGCUCGUGGAAUUGCAGGUGUAGCGGUGAAAUGCGUAGAUAUCUGCAGGAACACCCGUGGCGAAAGCGGCGAGCUGGAUCACUACUGACGCUGAGGAACGAAAGCUAGGGGAGCAAACAGGAUUAGAUACCCCAGUAGUCC